RNAcentral lists this ribosomal RNA (665 nucleotides) under uncultured bacterium. Its description in RNAcentral is "bacterial SSU rRNA". It matches the Rfam family "Bacterial small subunit ribosomal RNA", at positions 111 to 794 of the family's 1533-position model. The record is from RNAcentral.
UAACGCGUGAGCAACCUGCCCUUCGGAGGGGGAUAGUGUCUGGAAACGGACAGUAAUACCGCAUAACGUAUUUUUACCGCAUGAUAGAAAUACCAAAACUGAGGUGCCGAAGGAUGGGCUCGCGUUGGAUUAGAUAGUUGGUGGGGUAACGGCCUACCAAGUCAACGAUCCAUAGCCGGACUGAGAGGUUGAACGGCCACAUUGGGACUGAGACACGGCCCAGACUCCUACGGGAGGCAGCAGUGGGGAAUAUUGCACAAUGGGGGAAACCCUGAUGCAGCAACGCCGCGUGAAGGAAGACGGUUUUCGGAUUGUAAACUUCUGUUCUUAGUGAAGAAAAAUGACGGUAGCUAAGGAGCAAGCCACGGCUAACUACGUGCCAGCAGCCGCGGUAAUACGUAGGUGGCAAGCGUUGUCCGGAAUUACUGGGUGUAAAGGGAGCGCAGGCGGGAAGCCAAGUCAGCUGUGAAAACUACGGGCUUAACUUGUAGACUGCAGUUGAAACUGGUUUUCUUGAGUGAAGNGAGGUUGGCGGAAUUCCGAGUGUAGCGGUGAAAUGCGUAGAUAUUCGGAGGAACACCGGUGGCGAAGGCGGCCAACUGGGCUUUAACUGACGCUGAGGCUCGAAAGUGUGGGGAGCAAACAGGAUUAGAUACCCUGGUAGU